CGAGGACGUUCCAGCAGCCAGGGCUGACUCUUGGACUACCACACGGCUGGGCGGCAAAGGAUUCGCUGGUCUCACCAGCACGUCCUUGAAGGAAGGCCGGGAGUCGAGCGACGUCGCGCCAUCCGAAGAGGCCGGACUGAGGUCACCCCACCUAAUAGACUUGGAGUGCCCCCUGGCUACAUGGGACACGGGAGGAGACAAGGAGGGGAUGGAAGACGACGCGCCAGGGCUAGAGGGAGCUGCGGCGACGACAGCAAGGGAGUUGGCCGCCGGCCCCGGAAUGGGAACCGGCGCGUGCUGG
Molecule: unclassified non-coding RNA, 301 nt
Filed under: Zea mays
Lineage: Eukaryota; Viridiplantae; Streptophyta; Magnoliopsida; Poales; Poaceae
Description: misc RNA Zm00001eb335770
Source: RNAcentral